RNAcentral lists this ribosomal RNA (185 nucleotides) under Salmonella enterica. RNAcentral describes it as "partial 23S ribosomal RNA". It matches the Rfam family "Bacterial large subunit ribosomal RNA", at positions 1 to 177 of the family's 2925-position model. The record is from RNAcentral. RNAcentral also lists the same sequence under 1 other name. Lineage: Bacteria; Pseudomonadati; Pseudomonadota; Gammaproteobacteria; Enterobacterales; Enterobacteriaceae.
GGGUUGUGAGGUUAAGCGACUAAGCGUACACGGUGGAUGCCCUGGCAGUCAGAGGCGAUGAAGGACGUGCUAAUCUGCGAUAAGCGCCGGUAAGGUGAUAUGAACCGUUAUAACCGGCGAUUUCCGAAUGGGGAAACCCAGUGUGAUUUGUCACACUAUCAUUACGUGAAUACAUAGCGUAAUGA